UACGUAGGUGGCAAGCGUUGUCCGGAUUUACUGGGCGUAAAGAGCGCGCAGGCGGUCGUUCAAGUCGCGUGUGAAAGCCCCCGGCUCAACUGGGGAGGGUCACGCGAUACUGAUCGACUCGAAGGCAGGAGAGGGAAGCGGAAUUCCCGGUGUAGUGGUGAAAUGCGUAGAUAUCGGGAGGAACACCCGUGGCGAAGGCGGCUCACUGGGCCGGUCCUGACGCUGAGACGCGAAGGCGUGGGGAGCGAACGGG
RNAcentral lists this ribosomal RNA (253 nucleotides) under uncultured bacterium. Its description in RNAcentral is "partial 16S ribosomal RNA". It matches the Rfam family "Bacterial small subunit ribosomal RNA", at positions 524 to 776 of the family's 1533-position model. The record is from RNAcentral.